AAACCGCAAAGAGGUAAACGGGUGGAUCCGCGAGGUCGGCCCUGGGAAUUCAGCCCAGCAUGUUGGGGCGGCUUGGAUGUGGCGAUCUGUCCAGGACUCCACGUUCUCGCGUCGGCUUCCAGCGAGCAGGGUGCACUUUCUCCGGGUCGAGUGCCACGACCGGUUCCGCGCUAGUCAGGAGCCCGGCGGCAAGGUUACUGUAACAGGUGUUAUAGGCCGCCGAGGUGGACACGCUGCGGGACCGAGGAUGCUUGCCGCAUUCCACGGCUUCGGGUCGUACGGGCGCGUCCAACGUUGGCGUCACUUCUCGCAAGUGCGCCGAGACCGCGUGCCUGUCACGGGCCCGUCUGCCGGGGGUGCCUCGUGUCGGUGGCCAAACGGUCGGUCCUCCACCCGACCCGUCUUGAAACACGGACCAAGGAGUCUAACAUGUGCGCGAGUCAAGGGGUCUAACGAAACCCAAAGGCGCAAUGAAAGUGAAGGCCGCCUCCGGUUGGCCUAGGCGGGAUCCCGUCCCGUUCGCGGGGCGGGCGCACUGCCGGCCCGUCUCGGCUGCAUCGUCAGCGAGGCGGAGCAAGAGCGCACACGUUGGGACCCGAAAGAUGGUGAACUAUGCCUGAGUAGGACGAAGUCAGAGGAAACUCUGAUGGAGGUCCGUAGCGAUUCUGACGUGCAAAUCGAUCGUCAAACUUGGGUAUAGGGGCGAAAGACUAAUCGAACCAUCUAGUAGCUGGUUCCCUC
RNAcentral lists this ribosomal RNA (741 nucleotides) under Sphaerium sp. TS-2022_L11. RNAcentral describes it as "partial 28S rRNA". It matches the Rfam family "Eukaryotic large subunit ribosomal RNA", at positions 402 to 961 of the family's 3401-position model. The record is from RNAcentral. Lineage: Eukaryota; Metazoa; Mollusca; Bivalvia; Venerida; Sphaeriidae.